This 368-nucleotide ribosomal RNA is filed under the name uncultured organism. Its description in RNAcentral is "bacterial LSU rRNA". It matches the Rfam family "Bacterial large subunit ribosomal RNA", at positions 2099 to 2465 of the family's 2925-position model. The record is from RNAcentral.
CUUUACUGUAGCCUGGUAUUGGGUUCGGGCUUUGACUGCGCAGGAUAGGUGGGAGACUGAGAAGUGUGCCUUGUGGGGCACAUAGAGUCAACGGUGAGAUACCACUCUGUCAGAGCUAGAAUUCUGACCUUCACCCGUGAUCCGGGGAAGGAACCGUAUCAGGUGGGCAGUUUGACUGGGGCGGUUGCCUCCUAAAAGGUAACGGAGGCGCGCAAAGGUGUUCUCAGGCUGGUUGGAAAUCAGCCGUAGAGUGUAAAGGCAGAAGAACGCUUGACUGUGAGAGUGACAACUCGAGCAGGGUGGAAACACGGCCUUAGUGAUCCGACGGUAUGCGCGUGGAAGUGCCGUCGCUCAACGGAUAAAAGUUA